CAGUCGCCGCGGUAAUACGUAGGUGGCAAGCGUUGUCCGGAAUUAUUGGGCGUAAAGGGCUCGCAGGCGGUUUCUUAAGUCUGAUGUGAAAGCCCCCGGCUCAACCGGGGAGGGUCGUUGGAAACUGGGAACCUUGAGUGCAGAAGAGGAGAGUGGAAUUCCACGUGUAGCGGUGAAAUGCGUAGAGAUGUGGAGGAACACCAGUGGCGAAGGCGACUCUCUGGUCUGUAACUGACGCUGAGGAGCGAAAGCGUGGGGAGCGAACAGGAUUAGAUACCCCUGUAGUCCCUGUCUCUUAUAA
Molecule: ribosomal RNA, 301 nt
Filed under: uncultured bacterium
Lineage: Bacteria
Description: partial 16S ribosomal RNA
Rfam family: Bacterial small subunit ribosomal RNA
Source: RNAcentral